GACUCCGUGGCUACAGAACGAACGCUGGCGGCAUGCCUAACACAUGCAAGUCGAACGAGACCUUCGGGUCUAGUGGCGCACGGGUGCGUGACGCGUGGGAACCUGCCUUUAGGUUCGGAAUAACUCAGAGAAAUUUGAGCUAAUACCGGAUAAUGUCUUCGGACCAAAGAUUUAUCGCCUUUAGAUGGGCCCGCGUUGGAUUAGCUAGUUGGUGGGGUAAAGGCCUACCAAGGCGACGAUCCAUAGCUGGUCUGAGAGGAUGAUCAGCCACAUUGGGACUGAGACACGGCCCAAACUCCUACGGGAGGCAGCAGUGGGGAAUAUUGGACAAUGGGCGCAAGCCUGAUCCAGCCAUGCCGCGUGAGUGAUGAAGGUCUUAGGAUUGUAAAGCUCUUUCACCGAUGAAGAUAAUGACGGUAGUCGGAGAAGAAGCCCCGGCUAACUUCGUG
This 449-nucleotide ribosomal RNA is filed under the name uncultured bacterium. Its description in RNAcentral is "bacterial SSU rRNA". It matches the Rfam family "Bacterial small subunit ribosomal RNA", at positions 1 to 507 of the family's 1533-position model. The record is from RNAcentral.